GACUGGAUAUCACCUCACCCAGAUUACCAAAGUGACAACCUGACUGAAAUCGACCCAGAAAAUGUUACAGAAGCACCAAUGAAUUUAUUAGCAGAAUCACCAACAGCACAUCCAUCUGAAAACCUCAUAGAUGCUUUGAAUGUCUCUGACUCUGAGAAACUGGACAAUAAGACAGAAUCAGACCGUUCACCGUUUUAUGAAGAUUACAGCUACAGCACAGCAAUUCUUAGAAACCCUGAAGUCAUCACAGAGGCAGCAGGAAAAUUAACAGAAUCACCAACAGAUGGUCCAGCUGCAAACACCAGAGGAGACACAAAACCAUUUAUGAACAACUUUAAUGAUGCCAACACUGAAAAUGUUACAAAUGGACCAGUACAAUUAUUACCAGCUCCACCUGAUGCAGAUUUAAACAGUGACUCCUCUAAUGGCAGCGAGACCUUCAUUAAAGCAACUCUGAAAACUGGUAAAUUCAAGCUGUUUAAAGUUCAGUGCUGUUUUAUGUUUCUGUAGUAAAUGUUUUGGGGUGGUAAGAGCUUUAUCUCUUAAACAUCAUUAAUUAUGAAAAUAUAUAGUUUAGGCUUUUUAUUUUUUUUUAUCUCAUGAACAGUGAGAUUUAACCAGGAGUGAGAAACCAAUUUUUAUAUAUUACUUGUAUACAAAUCUAAUGUGUGCAGCAGAAAUUGUAGUUACAUCUUGUGUUUCUUCCUGAAGAAUCACCAACAGCGUAUCCUCUUCAGAAAGCCACCACAGAUGCUUUGAAUGUCUCUGAAUCUGAGAAACAUCUGAGCAUGAAAGUGAAAACUGGUAAAUCAACCAAGACUGCAAAAGUCUUGAGCCAGCUCAAGAC
Astatotilapia calliptera (eastern happy) is the source of this 847-nucleotide long non-coding RNA. The record is from Ensembl. NCBI's taxonomy places the organism in Eukaryota, Metazoa, Chordata, Actinopteri, Cichliformes, Cichlidae.